This 440-nucleotide ribosomal RNA is filed under the name uncultured bacterium. RNAcentral describes it as "partial 16S ribosomal RNA". It matches the Rfam family "Bacterial small subunit ribosomal RNA", at positions 338 to 795 of the family's 1533-position model. The record is from RNAcentral.
CCUACGGGUGGCAGCAGUGGGGAAUAUUGCACAAUGGGGGAAACCCUGAUGCAGCGACGUCGCGUGAGUGAAGAAGUAAUUCGUUAUGUAAAGCUCUAUCAGUAAGGAAGAAAAUGACGGUACCUGAGUCAGUAGCUCCGGCUAACUACGUGCCAGCAGCCGCGGUAAUACGUAGGGGGCAAGCGUUAUCCGGAUUUACUGGGUGUAAAGGGAGCGUAGACGGCAGUGCAAGUCUGGAGUGAAAGGUGGGGGCUCAACCCCCGGACUGCUCUGGAAACUGUACGGCUGGAGUGCAGGAGAGGUAAGUGGAAUUCGUAGUGUAGCGGUGAAAUGCUUAGAUAUUAGGAAGAACACCAGUUGCGAAGGCAGCUUACUGAACUGUCACUGACGUUGAGGCUCGAAAGUGUGGGGAGCAAACAGGAUUAGAUACCCGAGUAGUC